This is a long non-coding RNA of Vespa crabro (European hornet), 3188 nucleotides long. RefSeq lists it as uncharacterized. NCBI's taxonomy places the organism in Eukaryota, Metazoa, Arthropoda, Insecta, Hymenoptera, Vespidae. The transcript is spliced from 2 exons. The record is from RefSeq and is a predicted model, not a curated record.
CGCUGGCUUUACGACCCGUACGACUCGACGCGACGUCCUGAAUCAUUCCGUCUACUUUCAUUCAAACGCACAAACCUAUUCGCUCUCUAUCGGAGCCUAUAAUCUUCGAUUAUCUUGAACCACGAAAGAAAGAAAGUUGACAUUUACGACGCAUCCUUGCUCCUCUCUCUCUCUCUCUCUCUCUUUUAUUCUCUCUCUCUCUUUCUUUUAUUCAUUUUAAUAUUUUAGAGAGUGAAUAAAAUAGGCAGAGAGAAAAAGAGAGAGAGAGAGAGAGAGAGAGAGAGAGAGAGAGAGAGAGAUAGAGCAAUACAAUAGAGAAAAUGAUCGAGUAAAGUCACUAAUAAUUGUUAAUAAAUAUUUUAUUACAUCCUAUUUAUUUAUUUAGUUUUCUUAUUGUUAUAGAAACAUGUUUAUGACAGUGUGAUAUUUAUUAAUGUAUGUGCAUGCGUAUGUAUAUGUGUGUGUGUGUGUGUGUGUGUGUGUGUGUGUGAAAAUUUACACUAUAUUUUGUUCCAUUAAACCAAGAAAGGUUUAAACAGAAAGAAAAAGGUUGGAAAGAUUGAAAGGAUUAAAAUCUUAUAAGAAAAGGAAGAAAGAAAAAAGAAAAAAAGAAAAGAAAAGAAAAAAAAUGAAAAAAAAUUAAUAAUCGAAACCAUAUGAAAAUUUAUUUUUCUUUUACGACGUAUGAGAGUAACGUUUUCCCUCACCCUUCUCUGUCAUUCCAAGAAGAAGAAGAAGAAGAAGAAGAAGAAGAAGAAGAAGAAGAAGAAGAAGAAGGAGAAGAAAAAGAAAAAGAAAAAGAAUAAGAAGUAUCUGUGAGUAAGUAAAAAAGUCGAGUCGAUUAUGCAGUUGUCUCUUGGGAUACGUGUCAAAGAGAGUAGAAGCGAGAGAGAAAGAGAGAUAAAGAGAGAGAGGGAUAUAUAUAUAUAUAGAGAGAGAGAGAGAGAUAGAUAGAUAGAUAGAUAGAUAGAUAGGUAGAGAGAGAGAGAGAGAAAGAGAAAGAGAGAGAGAGAUAAGACGAGAGUCAGUAGGCGCGAGCUCAGUUGCUCGCUCGCGCGCAAGGCAGAAGUAUCCGAGACAAAUCGCUACAAGGAUACAUAACUUUCCCGUCGGAAGGGGUUUCUUUGCGGUUUAUGUGCAAGAGAGGAAGAAAGAGGGACGAGGCAGGAGGAAGAGGAGGAGGAGGAGGAGAAGGAGGAGGAUAUGGAGGAAGAGAAGAUGGAGGAGGAAGAGGAUGAAGAGUAGAAGGGUGGGAGAAGAAAGAAAGCAAGAGAGAAGGAAUGUCAUGCAAUGUGUCCGGCCAAACCGAACACCAUAGACUUAACGCGCCAAGGCAACCAAGCAAGCAACCCCCUUCCUUUCUCGAAGAAAACGCCAGUCCGUUUACCAACGACUACUAAACAAGUACGCAAGUAGCAAGGAGCAGCGACGUCGAAGGAGGAGGUUUACCGCGAAGCUUAUAUUGCGAGGGACUUGUGUCGGAGUACCAACUUUGGGCCUGGCGUUAGUUCGAGUGUGCGAUUCCACGCAGUUCGCCAAGAACCCAUAUAUAUGUGUGUGUGUAUUUUCGUACAUACAUACGUAUAUACGUGUAUAUGAGCAUACCAAAGAGAGACGAAGAAGAAGAGAAAGAAAAAAAGAAAGAGAGAGAGAGAGAGGGAGAGAGAAAGAGAGAAGGAAGAACAUAGGUGAGUAAAGAAGAGGAAGAGAGGGUCCUCGGCACAGGAGGGGGGCCCAAAUAAUAUUUCAAAAUUAAUGUCAUGCGGGGCCUUCCAAAGGGGUCCGGUGGGUUCCGCACCACCUUCCUGCAUAAGAUAAGGCCCUCUUGGCCACCGCUCGUGAGACAAGGACCAACCAACCGACCGACCGACCGACCGACCGACCGGCCGGCCGGCCGGCAGGACGGCCGACCGAGGGAACGCGAGCUUCGAGAACCCGAGGAAGGCGAGCGUGUGAGAGAGAGAGAGUGAGAGAGAGAGAGUGAGAGAGAGAAAAAGAGAAAAAGAGAAAAAGAGAAAGAGAGAGAAGCAUGGAAUGUGUGGGUCUAGAGAGAACACACAUAGUCAGCUUGUGGAUGGGUCGAUAAGAAAGAAAGAAAGAGAGAGAGAGAGAGAGAGAGAGAGAGAGAGAGAGAGAGAGAGAAAGAAAGAUGGAAGAAACGAGUGCCUGAGGGAUAAAGUGGAAGAAGAGAAGCCGGAGUCGUCUCGUGAGAGGAAAGGAUCAGGGAGAAUAGCGUGCAUUGAAAAGAGAGAGAGAGAGAGGGGGGGAGAUACUAAGCCGACGACCGAGGAGUAAGCGAGCGAGAGAGAGAAAGAGAGAGAGAAAGAGAAGGAGAAAGAAUGAAGAAGAGGAGAAGAAGGUAGGAAGGGAGAAGAAGGACGUACUUGCGUGUGUGCACGCGUGACUAACGGUGCGAGGGAGAUGGAAAGAGUAAAGAGUAAAAGAGAGAGAAAGAGAGAGAGAGAGAAGGAAACGAUGACGCCGAUGGUGGUGAACCUUAGGAAAAGGAUAGAAAGAGAAGGAGAAACAGAGAGAAAGAAAGAGAGAACGAGAAGAAGAAAGAAAGAGGAGACCGAACGAAGGAGACAAACGCACAUCUCGCUCUCUUCGAGCCCUCGAGAAAGGAUCUAGACUCUCUAGGGCCAAACCAUCUCUCCUUUACCCUCACUCCAUCUCUCUCUCUCUCUCUCUUUCUCUCUGUCGCACUUGACGCGUUCCUCUUUCUAUCUCCUCUCCCUUUCUAUCCGUCUGCAUUCCUCGCACAGGCGCAUAGAACCGAGCGUGCAUUUCUUUCUUUCCCCUCUCUUCUCUUUCCUCGUCAUUCCCCACCCCGCGACCCUCUCCUCUUCCUCCCCUUCCUUUUCCUCUUCCUCACCUCUCGUUCUCUCCCUCCCUCUCUCUCUUUCUUUCUCUCUCGACUCCUCUUUACUCCUUCUCCUUCAACUCAUCCUCUCCCUCCAACACUAAUUCACGUUGACAUCUCAGCUCUGCGGAUACACCGACGGACGGAUGACUGUUGGCGUUGGGAGGGUCAGGAUGACGAGGACGAAAGGGGCAAACAAGGUGGAUACCAACCGAACGAGAUCGUAUAGGAACUAUCUUUCUCCUUAGAAAAUUGGCGAAUCUUUGUUAUGCUUGAUUUUUAAUCAAUGUACGACAUAAUACAAUGUUUUGUUAAGUACGUUCAA